Molecule: small RNA, 61 nt
Filed under: Sinorhizobium meliloti 2011
Lineage: Bacteria; Pseudomonadati; Pseudomonadota; Alphaproteobacteria; Hyphomicrobiales; Rhizobiaceae
Description: putative ncRNA
Source: RNAcentral
AAAGUCGCCGAAGGCGAAAAGGCGCAUUGCACUUUCGAGAGCCUUUUGGUUUAUGCGAUGG